Molecule: long non-coding RNA, 8769 nt
Filed under: Populus trichocarpa (black cottonwood)
Lineage: Eukaryota; Viridiplantae; Streptophyta; Magnoliopsida; Malpighiales; Salicaceae
Description: long non-coding RNA (PTRI_LNC000006)
Source: RNAcentral
UUCUAACAAGUUACUAAGGAGAGUUUUGAGGGACCAAAUGAAGCAUGAGCUAUCAGUUCGGAGUAAAAUUUAGUUGAAGCAUCUUCAAAAUCUCUUAUACAUCAGUCUAUCAACCAAAAAACUGUUUUGUAAUAAUGAAAAAGAGAUGCUAGGUAGCCAUUUUAAUCCCAUUGUUCUCAAAUGGUGGAUAGAUGGGAUCAAUUGAGGCAUGCAUUCUUGUAAUUCCUGCAAUGUCAUUGCUUGUUGUCAAAUAGAUGUAGCUGAGAUGCUUGUGGUUUUGCUUAAAGGACUGGUGUAAAAUGGAAAAAUGUUUCUUGCUACCUGAUGAUUUAUCAGAUAGUUGGAAUAAAUAUUUUGCUGCAAGCCUGUUUUCCUUUCCUCGUUCUGUUAAAUUAUAGUAUGAUUUUUCUGGAUUUGGAUUAGAGAGUUUGAAGCUUCAAGUACUUUGCUGCAGAGGUAUUCUGCAGGUUGCCUAAAGGAAUGCUGAUUUAACUCUUUAAUGAAUAAUAUCUUGCACGAUAAAGGAUAUAAACCAUUCAAAAUCAUAUAAUUUCUUUUCAAAUAAGACAAGCAGCAGUAAAGUAAAACUUCUGCGUACAAGAUAAUCCACAGGUGAAGUGCUGGUCUCUGACAUGUUGUGACCGGCCUCAACCCUUGUAAAUCUUGCUCCUUAUUAGACCACAUUGCUCAUGUCGUAUCAAAACAAGUUACACACCUGAAAGAAAGGAAAAAAGAGAGAGCAUUAUAUCUUUGCCAAAUCGAUUGUUUUCUUCCCAUCAUGUGCUUUUCGGAAGAAAUGCUUGACGUAAUCCGAGUACAGAACUUCCUUAUACACGGCCUUCUCGCCACUGGCCAGCACUUCAGGGAAAGGAGAGAUUUUGUCUGAUGGCAUGGGGUUGAUGAAAAUGGGAACUGAAAUCCUGUUAUUACUUCCGUUAGCAAUAACACGGUGCUCGAUGCUCUUGUAUCGACCAUUGCUCAUUAUUUGUAAGGCAUCUCCAACAUUGAUCACAAUGGACCGCUAACAGGAGGAACAUGAAUCCAGCUAUCAUUGUUCCCUCGCACGUAAAGUCCACCGAUGUCAUCUUGGAGGAGGAAAGUGAGUGUUGAGACAUCCGAGUGGCGGCCAACUCCUACAGUGAGCUCAGCAGGGUUUGGACAAAUCGGAUAGUAGUUAAGGUUAGUCCUUUUAGACCCCAUUAAGAGGGAUUCUUUUGUCUCAUCGAUCUCAGUCACAUUCAGAUUCUUCAUUAGCACAUCCAGUAGCUUUCUGAUAACAGUUUCUGAUCUCUUCAUGUACUCCAGCACUUGAUCCCUGAAAGAGAAAAAAUCGCGAGGCCGACAAAUUAAUUGAUAGCCGUUAUAAUCAAGUAAUAAUGUUAUAUGCAUGUGCAAUGUGCAAAGUGAAGUAUUUAUUACUUGCAAACCGCAGGCCACAAUGCAGAAGCCUCAUCCUCGGAGACAUAAAAGAGACUAAGGUAAUCUUUCCACUCUAAAGCCUUCUCAGCUUCAGGACUAAAGCUUGUGCCAAACCGCACGUUGUUAGAAGGAGAAAACUCUUUUAAAUACUUCCUCUUUUCCUCUGCUGGUAAUCUGAAGAACUGAUGAGUUGCUUCCUUAACAUUCUCAAGUACUUCAAUGGGAACUCCAUGGUUAAUAAUCUGGAAGAAUCCCCAUUUCUCUGCAGCCUCACAGAUUGCUUCAGCAACUUUAGGGUCAUCCCAUUUUGACAUGUCAAUGAUGGGAAUGGAUUCAUGGGACAUGAUUUUGGUACCACACAUUCUUUCCUCAAGGGGUUGGAUAUAUUGCUUGGGGAGGCUUUCGAGGCCCAUCUCGGAGAGACCCUUUACUCCAUUGCCUUUGUUCAGGAAAAAAUCAGUGAUAUCUGAGGAGUCAUUGAAUGACACUGCAAGUGUUGGAGCCAUUGCUUGGACGCUUCUAGCUAGCUAAGACAACCAAGGUAGAAAAUGUAGUGUGUGCCAUCAGCUUCCAGGGCUUUGCUACUUAUACUGUACUGUUUAAGGAUGUCUCCAUGCCUUCUGCUACAUGUUCUUUCAGUUGAUAAAUUCCUCACCAACUCACCUAGCAACUUGCACGCCUUCUCACCUUUUCCUUCUCAAAGUUGACUUGAUGCUGCUCAAUCUUAAUUCCUUACAUGCAUGGUGCUAGUUUAGUUUGUCAAGUAUUUUUUGUACUCAAUCUCAUUAUUUAUGUUGGCUUAGGUCCCCUUUAAUGAAAUUAUUUUAUAGUGUUUAUGUUUGAUAUCGCAUAUGUUUUUACCUAUGUUUUAUCUAAAAAUAGUAUUUCGUUAAAGAAUAUAAUUUUGCUUUGAAUCAAAGCAGCUACAUUCUAGUUUUUUUUUUAUAUAAAAAAAAAAAACAAUUUAUUGUACUAUUUUCAACUCACAACUCUAUAUAAUAUAAUAAUUAAAACCUAACAUAGCAUAAUAAUAUCAAACAUAUUCAGUAAUGAUAUUGUGUAUUUUUUUAAAUUAAAAAUACACUAAAUAAUUAAUGGAUAUAAAUAAUAUUAAAAUAUUAAUUUGAUGUUAAUUUUUUCAUAUAAAAAAACAGUUUGAAAAAUAUUUUAAAAAAUAAAUUGAAAAACAAAAAUAAACACUACCUCAAAGAUUAAAAAAAAAAAAUUCAAUUAAUACCAAACAAACACACAACAGAUUAAAGAAAGUAUAAGUAAUUAAUCUCUUACCAAUGUUACUGCUAACCAAUAAGCUACCUAAAUCAAUCAAUUCAAAAAUCAAGGACUUGCGAUUUGCAUAUAUUCUUAGCCAAUAAACUUCUUGUUUUUUUUUCACUAGUUCAUGGCCUUACCAAUAAUUGAACAUUGAUACAAGAAAUCCCAUAAUCAAGAAAGGAUAGAGAACUUGAUGCAGAACGCUUGGCAGGGGAAUUUGAAGCACAAAUUGAUAGGUGCAUAGUGAAGACGAAAAGGUCAUAAGUACUGUACGCUAAGAUUUAAAUAGCAUUUAAUAGGUAUAAUUAAUCAUGCAUGUUACAAGUAGAAUAAAUAGACAACGUAAGCGUUGCUUUACAGGCACUUUGUAUUCCAAAUAUUCAAUACAAUUUUGAGACUUUCUUUCAUUUUCUGGUGGAUUCCAGAUAAACUUUUGAGGGUGAACGUGAGGAUCCCUCUGUUAUUUUUCUUGCUGCAUUAAUUGGUAUCAGAGCAGGUUUGCCUUGGCUCGAUGGCGAAUGACCCGAACAAUGAUCAACCCCUUCCUGGUGGGGAACCAGUUUCCAGGAGAGAGUUUGACGCUCUUGCUACGAGCAUUGAAGAGAUUCGGCAAUUGCUUCUCAACAUGGGAAACAACAACAACAACAACAACAAUGGACGAGAUAACCAAUGUGGUGGUGGCAGAGGCAACCGCGAUGGUCGUCGUCAACAGGAGGAGAUUGAAUCGAAUUCUGAGGAGGAGAUGGAACGUCCCGAGAAUGCAUUUGCUGCUAAUCUAAAUAAUCGACAAUCCAUUGAAGAUUAUCGGAUGAAGGCCGACAUCCCUUAUUUUAAUGGUCAUCUAUCCAUUGAAGGAUUUUUAGAUUGGCUUAUGGAGGUAGAGAGAUUUUUUGAGAUUAUGUCAGUACCAGAGGAGAGGAUGACUAAGAUAUCAGCUUUUCGCUUAAAGGGGAGUGCAGCUAUAUGGUGGGAUAAUUUGCAGAAGUCACGACAAAGGCAGGCUAAACAACCGGUCAGGAUAUGGCGUAGGAUGAAACAAUUGAUGAUGGACCGUUUCCUUCCAGUAGAUUAUGAGCAGCAUCUUUAUCGCCUCUACCAUAAUUGUACCCAGGGAAGCAGGGCAGUAGAGGAUUAUACUGACGAGUUCCUACGGUUGGCAGAGAGAAAUUAGUUGAAUGAGACUCAGGGGCAGACGAUAUCAAGAUAUGUCAAUGGAUUGACGAUGUCAAUACAUGAUAGAAUCGGGUUACAAGUUUUCUGGGACAUCCAUGAGGCUCAAAAUAUGGCUAUGAAGGCACAACAGUUAGAGAAAGAACUGAAGGAACGUGAACAAAAGGAGAAAAAAACGAACUAUGGCAACAAAAAUAAUUACCCGAGGAAGGCAGCAGAUUCUUAUGUUCCUAACAAGGAGAAGAAAGAAGUCCAGCCGAUCCAAAGAAAUAAUUAUAAAGGGCAGAAUUACAGAGGAGAGAGUAGCCAGAAUAAUGACAUAAAUCAAAAUCGAAAUCAGAGACCAAACCAUGGCCCAUACGCUAGAGCAACUAGUGAUGUCUGCUAUAGGUGUUUCCAGCCUGGCCACCGAUCCAAUAACUAUCUAAAGCAAAAGCAAGCGAACCUUGUAGAAGGAACCGAAGAAGCUGAUGAUCAUAGUGGAAAUUAUGAUGAUGAUUAUGAUGGGGCUGAGUUUGCAUAUGAAGAUAAUAAUGAGGUUGUAAAUUUGAUGGUAAAUCAUACUGCUAUUGAAGAAGACGAAGUGCUCAGCAUGAUGCUAUAACGAGCUCUCCUUUCGCUUAAACAAGAAGGACAAAGGAAUCACAUAUUUUGUUCCUUAUGUUCUGUUGACAACAAGGUGUGCACAUUGAUUGUAGAUGGUGGCAGCUGUGAGAAUUUUGUGUCACAAAAGCUGGUUGAUUAUUUAAAACUUCCAACAGAGAAGCAUAAGAAUCCUUAUAUGUUAGGGUGGGUGAAGAGAGGACCAUCAGUAAAGGUGACAGAAGCAUGUGGGGUUCCUCUUUCUAUUGGUAAGCAUUACAAACAUGAGAUUUGGUGCGAUGUAAUUGAUAUGGAUGCCAGCAUGUAUUACUAGGAAGGCCUUGGCAGUUUGAUGUUGAUGCUACCUACAAAGGGCAUGAUAAUGUGUUUAUCUUUGAGUGGGGUUCUUAUAAAAUUGCACUUGCUCCUGUUGAUCAGUCUGGAAAAUUAGAAAAACCACAAGCUGGGAGUUCAAAUUUUCUAGCUAUCUCCAGGAAUAGCCACGAGUUUGAAGACAUUAUUAAAGAAGUUGGAUUCAUGUAUCCAAUUGUUCUUAAGGGGCUUAUGGUGACAAAUGCUGUUUCAAGUCACAUUCCAAAAAAAGUGCAAGAAAUUUUGAGCGAGUAUGAAGAUCUGGUUUCUGAAGAUUUACCAGCACAACUUCCUUCUAUACGAGAUAUUCAACAUCAGAUUGAUUUAGUCCCUUGAGCAAGCCUACCUAAUCUUCCCCAUUAUCGAAUGAGCCCAAAGGAAAAUGUGAUCUUGAAGGAGAAGAUCGAAGAGCUGCUGAAAAAAGGAUUUAUUCGUGAGAGCAUGAGUCCUUGUGCAGUUCCUGUCUUGCUAGUGCAAAAAAAGGAUAACACUUGGCGUAUUUGUGUUGACAGUAGAGCCAUUAAUAAAAUCACCAUCAAAUAUAGAUUUCCAAUUUCGCGGUUGGAGGAUAUGUUGGAUGUCCUUGAGGGUUCCGAGGUAUUUUUGAAAAUUGAUUUGCGCAGUGGCUAUCACCAGAUUCGAAUUAAACUAGGAGACGAAUGGAAGACGACAUUUAAGAGCAAGGAGGGUCUGUAUGAAUGGCUGGUGAUGCCAUUCGGAUUAUUAAAUGCACCAAGUACUUUCAUGCGACUCAUGAACCAACGAAGAUGGAAUUUAUGUGGAUCAGGACAAAGUACGUGCUAUCAGAGAAUGGCCAGCUCCCAAGACUGUAAGUGAGUUACGUAGUUUCCAUGGCCUUGCUACUUUUUACAGGCGUUUUGUACGAAACUUUAGUACCCUUGCAGCCCCUAUUAUUGAAUGUCUCAAGCAGGGGAAGUUUCAUUGGGAUGAAGCUCUUUAUUCUGAAGAUAACUCAGAGGCGAGUUCUUUCAAAAUGGAGGAGUCUGAUGCAGAACACUUGGCAGGGGAAUUUGAAGCACAAAUUGAUAGGUGCAUAAUGAAGACGAAAAGGUCAUGAGUAUCGUAUGCUAAGAUUUAAAUAGCAUUCAAUAGGUAUAAUUAAUCAUGCAUGUUACAAGUAGAAUAAAUAGACAACGUAAGCGUUGCCUUACAUGCACUUUGCAUUCCAAAUAUUCAAUACAGUUUUGAGACUUUCUCUCAUUUUCUAGUGGAUUCUAGAUGAACUUUUGAGAGUGAACGUGAGGAUCCCUCUGUUAAUUUUCUUGUUGCGUCAGAACUGUAUGAACAAAUCAAAGUACGUAAUUGCAUAAUUAAGAUCCCCCAUAACCAAAAAAAAAGAAAAAGAAAAUAAAAUUGUAUGAACAAAUCAAAUUAAGUCAUUGCUUUGAGAUAUUCCUGCAUUGAUGUGCAUUCUUCUUAGCACACAUGAUUAUUUUAAUAUGGUCACACCACGUACCUUAACUAGUUAAUAUUUUACCAUGCAAAUAUUAUAAUCAACAUUCUCUAUUACAGCUAUUUUAGAAUAUUGCUUAUAUACCAGUAAAAAUAAUUCUAAAUAAAACUGAAAAAAUAAAAAAAAAAGUUAUAAAAUGAAUAGAAAAAAAUAUAUAUUAUAAAUUAAUUAUGAAAAUAUAACAAAUCUAGAUCAGUAACUUAUAGGCCUUGGUUGAAGAUCUCCACGAACUCUAAUUAUUAUGAUAUUUUAAUAUUAAAAGAAACAUGAUCUAUAUAUUUUUCUAGUAAAAUUCCAGUUCAAUAUAAUAGUUAGAUCAAAAUUUAUGUUCAUUAAUAUAAAAAUAUAAUUUAGAAAAAAAAAUCUCCGUUACUAAAAUUGUGAAAAUGGGUAUGUGUGUGUGUGUCAAGUAUUGAAAAAACAUGAAAGCAUUUGUAACUACUUGAAAUAAAAGAAAAGAAGAAGAAAGACAUCUGAGGUGUUGAAACUUGAAAUGGAAGUUGCUAUGUAUAAAUGUUAUCCAUCUCUUUGAAAUGUUUUAGACUUCAAACUAUAAAAUCUAAUUCGAUCAUUUGAUCAUAAUACAUAAAUUCACAUAAUACAAUAGUAGUUCUAAACGUUUCAAAUUUUAUUGAUGUUCAUCAAUAUUUUUAUCAAAUUUUAUUCAAUUCGAGGGCAUUUUAGUUCACAUAAAUAUGUUUUGAACUUAAUUGAUAAGAUUUAUAGGUUUGGAACGCAAUCAAGGAUGAAUAUAUAUAUAUAUAUAUAUAUAUAUAAAUUGGAUUAGAUGUGUCCUUGAACCAACUUACAUAUCAACUGAUACUGGAUUUAUUUUUCAUGUAACUUUAAGAUUGCAUUGAUCUAAUACAUUUUAAAAAAUAAAAAUCCUCUCGAUAAUAUUGGGUUUCAAUUAAGUUCAAAUUCUCAUCAGAUCAACAUGUUAAGUCACUAAAUUACUCUUGCUUGUAUUUGACAGGUAUAAAGCUUGCUCUGGUAUUCAGAUAUUCAAGAAAAAACCUAGAAUUAAGACAGUUUUUACAGUGACUUGUUAUCACUCCAAGCCUUGUCAUAAAAUAGUCCAAAACUGCAAGUGGCAAACAAAUUGUUCAUCCUAAACAUUGCAUAGACAUAGGUUUAAAGGCUUUGUAAAUUGUCUUGAAUUCCAAGAUAAGCCAUCAUUUAGAGAGAUGGAAAAAAGAAUUUAUUUUCUUUCACUUGCGAAAACUAGAAUAUUCGAGGCAUCUAAACCUCAUAAUUAAAGACUCCAGUCUUCUACCUAAACUAAUUAAUUUAGGUAUCGAAGAAUUCCCAACCCUUCUAAAUAACUUGUUCGAACUGUUCGAACCAAAUCGUUUCCGCCUUUCAACCACCUAUCAUAUAUAGUCUUACCAUAUUACUUUCUAAUAAGCUUUUAGCAGCCUCGUAAAAUGGUCAAGUAUGGCUCCAAAACAUAUUGUUCAGUUGAAAAAGAGUAGAGAAGGAUAACUGGAUAAAAAAAGAUCCAAGACUUAAAGAACAGAAAGAAACUAGAUACCAAGGAUAUUGUACCCAAACAAGAAAACUAUGCUUUUUCACCGAGCAAUGGAGUCAAGUCAUUUCUUCUUAUCCUUGUUCUCUCGUCACCAUAUAUAAUUGUGAUUCUCGAUUCAGAAAGCGCGCUCUAGCAACUAGAAGAAAAUGAUAAAACAGAUAAACAAACCAAGAAAAAGUUGUGAAUCUCCUUCCUUGAUACGUUAUUGGGUUGAGAUUAUUAAUUUUUCUUGAAAGUGUUUGAUUGGUGCCGUCUGCCGAAAUCUAAAUAAGAAAAAAAGAAGAUAGAUUGAAUUGAACUAUGGACUAGAUGGUGAACAAUAAUUAAAUAAAAAAUAGAAGCAAUCAAUUGAUUGACCUUAAACUAUAUAAUGAUGAUAAGUUUGAGAUGGUAUGCAUAUGAUUGAAUCAAUUAGGACAAUUUAAUCUCAGUUUAAUUUGAGAAUAUAUAUAGUUUAAUAGUCAAGUAAAAAGAAAGCAAUGAAUUUGAAGAACAUUGGAUGUUUAUUUUCCAAUUAACAAAAAAUAACCAAGGCCUAUAAUUAACCUGUAUCUGAUUCAAUGUGCUAAUCUUUUCUUCAAUCCUAAUUAUUGAUCCACCUAAGAAAUUAGGAAGCAGAUUAGAAGUGGCAUGUUACAGUUGCCUCCCUCUUGCCAUAAAUUGAGAGUUUUGAGGGACCAAAUGAAGCAUGAGCUAUCAGUUCGGAGUAAAAUUUAGUUGAAGCAUCUUCAAAAUCUCUUAUACAUCAGUCUAUCAACCAAAACCCUGUUUUGUAAUAAUGAAAAAGAGAUGCUAGGUAGCCAUUUUAAUCCCAUUGUUCUCAAAUGGUGGAUAGAUGGGAUCAAUUGAGGCAUGCAUUAAUUCUUGUAAUUCCGGCAAUGUCAUUGCUUGUUGUCAAAUAGAUGUAGCUGAGAUGCUUGUGGUUUUGCUUAAAGGACUGGUGUAAAAU